This 642-nucleotide ribosomal RNA is filed under the name uncultured bacterium. RNAcentral describes it as "bacterial SSU rRNA". It matches the Rfam family "Bacterial small subunit ribosomal RNA", at positions 202 to 842 of the family's 1533-position model. The record is from RNAcentral.
CAAAGGUUAAUUCCGGUGGCGGAUGGGCAUGCGUCGCAUUAGUUAGUUGGCGGUGUAACGGACCACCAAGACGACGAUGCGUAGGGGUUCUGAGAGGAAGGUCCCCCACACUGGUACUGAGACACGGACCAGACUCCUACGGGAGGCAGCAGUGAGGAAUAUUGGUCAAUGGGCGGGAGCCUGAACCAGCCAAGUCGCGUGAGGGAUGACGGCCCUAUGGGUUGUAAACCUCUUUUGCCGGGGGGCAAAGUGCCGCACGUGUGCGGUUUGGAGAGUACCCGGAGAAAAAGCAUCGGCUAACUCCGUGCCAGCAGCCGCGGUAAUACGGAGGAUGCGAGCGUUAUCCGGAUUUAUUGGGUUUAAAGGGUGCGUAGGCGGACGCUUAAGUCAGCGGUAAAAUUGCGGGGCUCAACCUCGUCGAGCCGUUGAAACUGGGUGCCUUGAGUGGGCGAGAAGUACGCGGAAUGCGUGGUGUAGCGGUGAAAUGCAUAGAUAUCACGCAGAACUCCGAUUGCGAAGGCAGCGUACCGGCGCCCAACUGACGCUGAAGCACGAAGGCGUGGGUAUCGAACAGGAUUAGAUACCCUGGUAGUCCACGCAGUAAACGAUGAAUGCUAGUUGUCCGGGGCGAUUGAGUUCUGG